This 470-nucleotide long non-coding RNA is filed under the name Apteryx owenii (little spotted kiwi). RNAcentral describes it as "lncRNA (ENSAOWG00000003925.1)". The record is from RNAcentral. Lineage: Eukaryota; Metazoa; Chordata; Aves; Apterygiformes; Apterygidae.
CGAGAUGGCAUAUGCUCGGAGGUUUAGCCGGGCAUUCCUAAAUCUCCUACAACGGGAAAUGAACAGCUACCCUUCUCCUGAACUUCAAGAAGAGUGUGAAAACUUAGAUCGGGGAGACACGCAACAGCAAGUAUCUGUUAUUGAAAGGGUGCCUUUUCCUGGCUCAGAUGAAACUGGUUACAGUCAUGGUUUGGAAAAAGUUGAAACAACUGAAAAUAGAGUCCUGGAGAAAACUAUAACAACUACCACAGAACUUGGAUACACAGUGUCAAAGACGGGAUAUGAUUAUGAGGAGGAUGAGUAUUUCACACAAGAGGAUGCUAAAGAAAAAAAGCCACAAGAGUAUGGAGAAGCUCAGGAGGAGAAUGAGGAAAACUUAGAGGCAACAGUAGAAACUAGGGCUGCCUAUAAGGAUUAUGGUAUGAUUUUAGAGCAUGAAAAACUCUUUGAAUUCAAUAGAAAGACUCUCA